RNAcentral lists this ribosomal RNA (377 nucleotides) under uncultured bacterium. Its description in RNAcentral is "bacterial SSU rRNA". It matches the Rfam family "Bacterial small subunit ribosomal RNA", at positions 521 to 896 of the family's 1533-position model. The record is from RNAcentral.
UAAUACAGAGGGUGCAAACGUUGCUCGGAAUUAUUGGGCGUAAAGCGCGUGUAGGCGGCUUGUUAAGUCGGUUGUGAAAACCCAUGGCUCAACCAUGGAAGUGCGUCCGAAACUGGCAAGCUGGAGUCCCGACGAGGGUGGCGGAAUUCCCAGUGUAGAGGUGAAAUUCGUAGAUAUUGGGAGGAACACCGGUGGCGAAGGCGGCCACCUGGGAGGGUACUGACGCUGAGACGCGAAAGCGUGGGGAGCAAACAGGAUUAGAUACCCUGGUAGUCCACGCUGUAAACGAUGAGCACUAGGUGUUGCGGGUAUUGACCCCUGCAGUGCCGACGCUAACGCAUUAAGUGCUCCGCCUGGGGAGUACGGCCGCAAGGCUA